This 330-nucleotide ribosomal RNA is filed under the name uncultured eukaryote. RNAcentral's name for it is "partial 18S ribosomal RNA". It matches the Rfam family "Eukaryotic small subunit ribosomal RNA", at positions 1470 to 1796 of the family's 1831-position model. The record is from RNAcentral.
CCCUUAGAUGUUCUGGGCCGCACGCGCGCUACACUGAUGCAUUCAACGAGUCUAAAACCUGGUCUGAUAGGGCUGGGUAAUCUUUUGAAAGUGCAUCGUGAUUGGGAUAGAUGAUUGCAAUUCUUCAUCUUCAACGAGGAAUGCCUAGUAAACGCAAGUCAUCAGCUUGCAUUGAUUACGUCCCUGCCCUUUGUACACACCGCCCGUCGCUCCUACCGAUUGAAUGAUCCGAUGAAUACCAUGGAUUGAGAGUACGAAUGGGUUCGCUCAUUUCUGCUGCUCGAGAAGUGGAGUAAAUCUUAUCAUUUAGAGGAGGGAGAAGUCGUAACA